Molecule: ribosomal RNA, 600 nt
Filed under: uncultured marine crenarchaeote
Lineage: Archaea; Thermoproteati; Thermoproteota
Description: bacterial SSU rRNA
Rfam family: Archaeal small subunit ribosomal RNA
Source: RNAcentral
CACAAGGGGUGAAGCCUGCGGUUCAAUUGGAGUCAACGCCAGAAAUCUUACCCGGAGAGACAGCAGAAUGAAGGUCAGGCUGAAGACCUUACCAGACAAGCUGAGAGGUGGUGCAUGGCCGUCGCCAGCUCGUGCCGUGAGAUGUCCUGUUAAGUCAGGUAACGAGCGAGAUCCCUGCCAUUAGUUGCCAUCACUACUCUCAGGAGUAGUGGGGCGAAUUAAUGGGACCGCCGUAGUUAAUACGGAGGAAGGAAGGGGCCACGGCAGGUCAGUAUGCCCCGAAACUCUGGGGCCACACGCGGGCUGCAAUGGUAGUGACAAUGGGUUCCUAACUCGAAAGAGAGCGGCAAUCCCAAAACGCUACCACAGUUAUGACUGAGGGCUGUAACUCGCCCUCACGAAUAUGGAAUCCCUAGUAACUGCGUGUCAUUAUCGCGCGGUGAAUACGUCCCUGCUCCUUGCACACACCGCCCGUCGUUUCAUCGAAGUUUGCUUUUAGCGAGGUGAUGUCUCAUUGGCAUCAUCGAACUUGAGGUAGGUGACGAGGGAAAAGUCGUAACAAGGUGACCGUAGGGGAACCUGCGGUCGGAUCACCUCCUU